This 300-nucleotide long non-coding RNA is filed under the name Physcomitrium patens. RNAcentral describes it as "long non-coding RNA (PPAT_LNC007743)". The record is from RNAcentral. Lineage: Eukaryota; Viridiplantae; Streptophyta; Bryopsida; Funariales; Funariaceae.
UUUGUUAAGGUCCAAUUAAGAUUAUAUUAGGAUUUUUAUUUUUAAUAUUUUUUUAUGAUUCUUUAUUGUUACUUUGAAGGUUUUUACUUUUUAAUUCCAAAAAAAAUAAGGUUUGUUAAAUACCUUUUUUAAAUGUGCUUGUCUUGCACUAAAAAAAAGAGAUACAACUUUUAUCAAUAAAGAACAUUUCUUGUGAAGCCAAAGCAUUUUCAUCUCCAAGCAAUAAAAUCAACAUUGAUUGUUGAUUCAAUCAUUUUUAAAAAAAAUAAAUCAAGUAAGUCUUCUAAUCUUCUUUAUGAU